UACGAAGGGAGCUAGCGUUGUUCGGAAUCACUGGGCGUAAAGCGCACGUAGGCGGAUGUGUCAGUCAGGGGUGAAAUCCCGGAGCUCAACUUCGGAACUGCCCUUGAUACAGCACGUCUUGAGUCCGGAAGAGGUGGGUGGAAUUCCUAGUGUAGAGGUGAAAUUCGUAGAUAUUAGGAAGAACACCGGUGGCGAAGGCGGCCCACUGGUCCGGUACUGACGCUGAGGCGCGAAAGCGUGGGGAGCAAACAGG
Molecule: ribosomal RNA, 253 nt
Filed under: uncultured bacterium
Lineage: Bacteria
Description: partial 16S ribosomal RNA
Rfam family: Bacterial small subunit ribosomal RNA
Source: RNAcentral